GGAGAUGUGGCUCAGUGGUAGAGCACACACCUUGCGUGUGUGAGGCACUGGGUUCAAUCCUCAGCACCA
Non-coding RNA from Ictidomys tridecemlineatus (thirteen-lined ground squirrel), 69 nucleotides. The record is from Rfam. NCBI's taxonomy places the organism in Eukaryota, Metazoa, Chordata, Mammalia, Rodentia, Sciuridae.